RNAcentral lists this ribosomal RNA (747 nucleotides) under uncultured Oribacterium sp. Its description in RNAcentral is "bacterial SSU rRNA". It matches the Rfam family "Bacterial small subunit ribosomal RNA", at positions 28 to 776 of the family's 1533-position model. Lineage: Bacteria; Bacillati; Bacillota; Clostridia; Lachnospirales; Lachnospiraceae. The record is from RNAcentral.
GAUGAACGCUGGCGGCGUGCCUAACACAUGCAAGUCGAACGGGGUUCUAUGUCGGAAGUUUUCGGAUGGAAGAGAUAGAACCCAGUGGCGGACGGGUGAGUAACACGUGGGUAACCUGCCUCAUAGAGGGGGAUAACAGAGAGAAAUCACUGCUAAUACCGCAUAAGCACACGGGAUCGCAUGAUCCAGGGUGAAAAGAUUUAUCGCUAUGAGAUGGACUCGCGUCUGAUUAGCUGGUUGGCGGGGUAAAGGCCCACCAAGGCGACGAUCAGUAGCCGAUCUGAGAGGAUGGCCGGCCACAUUGGGACUGAGACACGGCCCAGACUCCUACGGGAGGCAGCAGUGGGGGAUAUUGCACAAUGGAGGGAACUCUGAUGCAGCAACGCCGCGUGAGUGAAGAAGUAUUUCGGUAUGUAAAGCUCUAUCAGCAGGGAAGAUAAUGACAGUACCUGAAUAAGAAGCCCCGGCUAACUACGUGCCAGCAGCCGCGGUAAUACGUAGGGGGCAAGCGUUAUCCGGAUUUACUGGGUGUAAAGGGAGCGUAGACGGCGAAGCAGGUCUGAAGUGAAAAUCCGGGGCUCAACUCCGGAAGUGCUUUGGAAACUGUUUUGAUAGAGUGUCGGAGAGGUAAGUGGAAUUCCUGGUGUAGCGGUGAAAUGCGUAGAUAUCAGGAAGAACACCGGAGGCGAAGGCGGCUUACUGGACGAUAACUGACGUUGAGGCUCGAAAGCGUGGGAAGCAAACAGG